UUAUCGGAGAGUUUGAUCCUGGCUCAGGACGAACGCUGGCGGCGUGCCUAAUACAUGCAAGUCGAGCGGACAGAUGGGAGCUUGCUCCCUGAUGUUAGCGGCGGACGGGUGAGUAACACGUGGGUAACCUGCCUGUAAGACUGGGAUAACUCCGGGAAACCGGGGCUAAUACCGGAUGGUUGUUUGAACCGCAUGGUUCAAACAUAAAAGGUGGCUUCGGCUACCACUUACAGAUGGACCCGCGGCGCAUUAGCUAGUUGGUGAGGUAACGGCUCACCAAGGCAACGAUGCGUAGCCGACCUGAGAGGGUGAUCUACUACACUGGGACUGAGACACGGUACCAGACUCCUACGGGAGGCAGCAGUAGGGAAUCUUCCGCAAUGGACGAAAGUCUGACGGAGCAACGCCGCGUGAGUGAUGAAGGUUUUCGGAUCGUAAAGCUCUGUUGUUAGGGAAGAACAAGUACCGUUCGAAUAGGGCGGUACCUUGACGGUACCUAACCAGAAAGCCACGGCUAACUACGUGCCAGCAGCCGCGGUAAUACGUAGGUGGCAAGCGUUGUCCGGAAUUAUUGGGCGUAAAGGGCUCGCAGGCGGUUUCUUAAGUCUGAUGUGAAAGCCCCCGGCUCAACCGGGGAGGGUCAUUGGAAACUGGGGAACUUGAGUGCAGAAGAGGAGAGUGGAAUUCCACGUGUAGCGGUGAAAUGCGUAGAGAUGUGGAGGAACACCAGUGGCGAAGGCGACUCUCUGGUCUGUAACUGACGCUGAGGAGCGAAAGCGUGGGGAGCGAACAGGAUUAGAUACCCUGGUAGUCCACGCCGUAAACGAUGAGUGCUAAGUGUUAGGGGGUUUCCGCCCCUUAGUGCUGCAGCUAACGCAUUAAGCACUCCGCCUGGGGAGUACGGUCGCAAGACUGAAACUCAAAGGAAUUGACGGGGGACCGCACAAGCGGUGGAGCAUGUGGUUUAAUUCGAAGCAACGCGAAGAACCUUACCAGGUCUUGACAUCCUCUGACAAUCCUAGAGAUAGGACGUCCCCUUCGGGGGCAGAGUGACAGGUGGUGCAUGGUUGUCGUCAGCUCGUGUCGUGAGAUGUUGGGUUAAGUCCCGCAACGAGCGCAACCCUUGAUCUUAGUUGCCAGCAUUCAGUUGGGCACUCUAAGGUGACUGCCGGUGACAAACCGGAGGAAGGUGGGGAUGACGUCAAAUCAUCAUGCCCCUUAUGACCUGGGCUACACACGUGCUACAAUGGACAGAACAAAGGGCAGCGAAACCGCGAGGUUAAGCCAAUCCCACAAAUCUGUUCUCAGUUCGGAUCGCAGUCUGCAACUCGACUGCGUGAAGCUGGAAUCGCUAGUAAUCGCGGAUCAGCAUGCCGCGGUGAAUACGUUCCCGGCCUUGUACACACCGCCCGUCACACCACGAGAGUUUGUAACACCCGAAGUCGGUGAGGUAACCUUUUAGGAGCCAGCCGCCGAAGGUGGGACAGAUGAUUGGGGUGAAGUCGUAACAAGGUAGCCGUAUCGGAAGGUGCGGCUGGAUCACCUCCUUU
RNAcentral lists this ribosomal RNA (1550 nucleotides) under Bacillus subtilis. Its description in RNAcentral is "bacterial SSU rRNA". It matches the Rfam family "Bacterial small subunit ribosomal RNA". Lineage: Bacteria; Bacillati; Bacillota; Bacilli; Caryophanales; Bacillaceae. The record is from RNAcentral.